This 246-nucleotide ribosomal RNA is filed under the name Triticum aestivum (bread wheat). RNAcentral describes it as "partial small subunit ribosomal RNA". Lineage: Eukaryota; Viridiplantae; Streptophyta; Magnoliopsida; Poales; Poaceae. The record is from RNAcentral.
AUGGGUGAUAUUCACUGCAGGGUGAGGAUAGGUGCUGCCGCACCAGGAAGGGCGCCGUGCCCCAAUCGAAUCAGUGCGCUAGAGAAGUCAAUUCGAGGUUUCACGGAGAAUCCAGGGGACAAUGUCAUAGUGCCAACGUUGGAGACAAGUUUUGAUACUUUGGGAGAAGCCUACCACUUUUACAACCUGUGCUCUUGGGAGAAGGGAUUCCACAUUAGGUACAGAAAUAGUCUGACUAAAUGUUGA